CACACUCACAGCUGAUUUUAUGACACUUUUACAGCUAAAACAAUAUAUAAUUCCGGUUAUCCUGCGUAACAUUAUUGGGGAUAAAGGGUUAAGGAACCGCAAUUAAUUUUUUUAGUUUAGCUUGUGUUUACUACUAAUUUUUUUUUUUUUAUCACCACACAGUAAACAUUAAGUAAUAUGUAAAGUGUCCAUUUAUCCUCCAUGCCUGGUCCAUUAUCUUAAGCUUAGGCUGCUGCCCCUCGCGACCCAAUCCGGUACUAAGUAGAGAUGCCCAGAGUUCGCUCUCUCCAGGCACUUGGCCCAGCUCCUCCGGGGGAAUCCCAAGGCAUUCCCAGGCCAGCUGAAAAACAUAGUCCCUCUAGCAUGUCCUGGGUGUUCUGGGUCUCUUCCUGGUGGGACAUGCCCAAAACACCUCACCAGGGAGGCAUCCUAACCAGAGGCCAGUAUCUAAUCUGUCCUUUUUGUAUGUUCCCCUCAGGUUGCCAUGGUAGCAGAUACGGGGAGAACAAGUGUAGACGAUGCCACAAGAAGGAUGAUGAAAUUCCUCAUAUCACCUGAGCUGGCUGCGGAGUACAACAUGCUUGGCUGACAUGGGAAAAAAAAAGUUCAGAGAUUGUGUAUGAGGCACUGAAGAAGAAUUAUUUAACAUCAAAAGUCAACUUGCAAGAAGCAGAGAAGGCUCUGUCCAAGUGGUUCACUGGAGCUAAAGACAGAGGAGGACUGCAAGGGUACAAAAUAGACUUACGGCUCUGUAAAAAAACAAAAAACGAAACCCUACUCAUUCAAGAUAAGCUUUUGAGUUUUCCAUCUGACUUUUUCCCCAUGUUGCUACAGUUCCAUAAAUCUAAGGAAUUUUGCUGUAGUUUGACAUUUCUAGUUUUUUUAAAGUUUACGCACUUUGGUAUACAGUUACGUAAAAUCACAGUUGUUGGACAAAAUAAAUGUGAAAAAUGUUG
Molecule: long non-coding RNA, 956 nt
Organism: Oreochromis aureus
Lineage: Eukaryota; Metazoa; Chordata; Actinopteri; Cichliformes; Cichlidae
Exons: 2
Source: RefSeq, a predicted model, not a curated record